CCUACGGGGGGCGGCAGUGAGGAAUCUUGCGCAAUGGGGGCAACCCUGACGCAGCAACGCCGCGUGAGUGAGGAAGGUCUUCGGAUCGUAAAGCUCUGUCGGAUGGGAAGAAAUGCGUAUCGGCCAAUACCCGGUACGCUUGACGGUACCAUCAAAGGAAGCACCGGCUAACUCCGCGCCAGCAGCCCCGGUC
Molecule: ribosomal RNA, 193 nt
Filed under: uncultured bacterium
Lineage: Bacteria
Description: partial 16S rRNA
Rfam family: Bacterial small subunit ribosomal RNA
Source: RNAcentral